AAAGCAGGCUACCUUAUCGCUUCCCGUAUCUUGCGGGGGGAGGAAAGUCCGGACACCAUAGUGCAGCAUAGCGGGUAACACCCGUCGUCCCGGGUUCCCCGGGAAAGGACAAGUGCAACAGAAAGCAAGUACAGGUAAUGCUGUAGUGAAAUCAGGUAAACUCUAUGCGGUGAAACGCCAUGUAUAUCAGCGAUCGAGGGCUGCACGCCCGAGCUGAAGGGUAGGCGGUUAGAGCUUCCGGGUAACCGGGAGUCGAGAUAAAUGAUAAGGAUCUUCCCUAUGGGAGGAAACAGAAUCCGGCUUAUGGCCUGCUUUUUUU
This 319-nucleotide RNase P RNA is filed under the name Zeaxanthinibacter enoshimensis. Its description in RNAcentral is "Bacterial RNase P class A". It matches the Rfam family "Bacterial RNase P class A". Rfam says of the family: Ribonuclease P (RNase P) is a ubiquitous endoribonuclease, found in archaea, bacteria and eukarya as well as chloroplasts and mitochondria. Its best characterised activity is the generation of mature 5'-ends of tRNAs by cleaving the 5'-leader elements of precursor-tRNAs. Lineage: Bacteria; Pseudomonadati; Bacteroidota; Flavobacteriia; Flavobacteriales; Flavobacteriaceae. The record is from Rfam by way of RNAcentral.